Molecule: ribosomal RNA, 378 nt
Filed under: Pichia sp. CJ
Lineage: Eukaryota; Fungi; Ascomycota; Pichiomycetes; Pichiales; Pichiaceae
Description: partial 28S ribosomal RNA
Source: RNAcentral
UUGAGGUGUUUUUUUGAGUUGGAUUUGCUUUAGUUUGUAGUCCUCUUUAUAGUAAAUAUUGGCGAGAGGGGGGAGAGAGUUCCAUUUCAAGGUUAAUAUGGGGGAAAGACCUUUAGCAAGCAAGUGAAAAAGUGGAAAAAUUAGUAGCAAUCUAAAAAGAGAAGAUCACACCACAUGAAUUGUGAGCAUUGCAUUCGUGGCGGGGCGACCCGCAGCUUAUCGGGCCAGCAUCGAAGUUGGGCGGUAGGAUAAUGGGGUAGGAAUGUGACUUUACUUCGGUGAAGUGUUAUAGCCUGCGUGGAUAGUUAUCCUUCCUCAGGCUUCUGCAUGGGAGGCGAUGAUUCAUAGGACCUGCAUAAAAACCUGCUGAGUGUGUUG